GCGCCCGUAGCUCAAUUGGAUAGAGCGUUGGAUUCCGGUUCCAAAGGUUGGGGGUUCGAUUCCCUCCGGGCGUA
This 74-nucleotide transfer RNA is filed under the name Calditrichota bacterium. Its description in RNAcentral is "Calditrichaeota bacterium tRNA-Arg". It matches the Rfam family "tRNA". Rfam says of the family: Transfer RNA (tRNA) molecules are approximately 80 nucleotides in length. Their secondary structure includes four short double-helical elements and three loops (D, anti-codon, and T loops). Lineage: Bacteria; Pseudomonadati; Calditrichota. The record is from RNAcentral.